AACAAGAGAGAAAGAAAGAUUUGGAAAAGAAACGGAGAACUGAAGAAGAGCAGAGUGCAGAAGGUAAUUCAGAUAAGAAAGAAGAAGCCUCGGAAGAAAGAGUAAUUACUUUGAGGCCUCUAAACAUGGAGGACAUGAGACAGGCAAAGAAUCAGGUUGCUGCGAGCUUUGCUUCUGAGGGAUCCGUAAUGAGUGAGCUGAAGCAGUGGAAUG
This 213-nucleotide unclassified non-coding RNA is filed under the name Hevea brasiliensis (rubber tree). The record is from RNAcentral. Lineage: Eukaryota; Viridiplantae; Streptophyta; Magnoliopsida; Malpighiales; Euphorbiaceae.